Molecule: ribosomal RNA, 739 nt
Filed under: uncultured bacterium
Lineage: Bacteria
Description: bacterial SSU rRNA
Rfam family: Bacterial small subunit ribosomal RNA
Source: RNAcentral
GAGUUUGAUCCUGGCUCAGAUUGAACGCUGGCGGCAUGCCUAACACAUGCAAGUCGAACGGUAGCAGGCCUUCGGGUGCCGACGAGUGGCGGACGGGUGAGUAAUGCGUAGGAAUCUGUCUUUUAGUGGGGGACAACCCAGGGAAACUUGGGCUAAUACCGCAUGAGCCCUGAGGGGGAAAGCGGGGGAUCUUCGGACCUCGCGCUAAGGGGGGAGCCUACGUCUGAUUAGCUAGUUGGUAGGGUAAAGGCCUACCAAGGCGACGAUCAGUAGCUGGUCUGAGAGGACGACCAGCCACACUGGGACUGAGACGCGGCCCAGACUCCUACGGGAGGCAGCAGUGGGGAAUUUUUCGCAAUGGGGGCAACCCUGACGAAGCAAUGCCGCGUGGAUGAAGAAGGCCUUCGGGUUGUAAAGUCCUUUCGUGGGGGACGAAAAGGUGGUUCCUAAUACGAGCUGCUGUUGACGUGAACCCAAAAAGAAGCACCGGCUAACUCCGUGCCAGCAGCCGCGGUAAUACGGGGGGUGCAAGCGUUAAUCGGAAUCACUGGGCGUAAAGGGUGCGUAGGCGGUACGUUAGGUCUGUCGUGAAAUCCCCGGGCUCAACCUGGGAAUGGCGGUAGAAACCGGCGCACUAGAGUAUGGGAGAGGGUGGUGGAAUUCCAGGUGUAGCGGUGAAAUGCGUAGAGAUCUGGAGGAACAUCAGUGGCGAAGGCGGCCGCCUGGCCCAAUACUGACG